ACAGAUCUAGCUUGCUAGAUGCUGACGAGUGGCGCACGGGUGCGUAACGCGUAUACAAUCUACCUUUAACUGAGGGAUAGCCCAGAGAAAUUUGGAUUAAUACCUCAUAGUAUUAUAUUAAGGCAUCUUUUUAUAAUUAAAACUCCGGUGGUUAAAGAUGAGUAUGCGUCCUAUUAGCUUGUUGGUAAGGUAAAAGCUUACCAAGGCUACGAUAGGUAGGGGGCCUGAAAGGGUGAUCCCCCACACUGGACUGAGACACGGCCCAGACUCCUACGGGAGGCAGCAGUGGGGAAUUUUCCGCAAUGGGCGAAAGCCUGACGGAGCAACGCCGCGUGAGGGAUGAAGGCCUCUGGGCUGUAAACCUCUUUUAUCAAGGAAGAAGAUCUGACGGUACUUGAUGAAUAAGCCACGGCUAAUUCCGUGCCAGCAGCCGCGGUAAUACGGGAGUGGCAAGCGUUAUCCGGAAUUAUUGGGCGUAAAGCGUCCGCAGGCGGCCCUUCAAGUCUGCUGUUAAAAAGUGGAGCUUAACUCCAUCAUGGCAGUGGAAACUGUUGGGCUUGAGUGUGGUAGGGGCAGAGGGAAUUCCCGGCGUAGCGGUGAAAUGCGUAGAUAUCGGGAAGAACACCAGUGGCGAAGGCGCUCUGCUGGGCCAUCACUGACGCUCAUGGACGAAAGCCAGGGGAGCGAAAGGGAUUAGAUACCCCUGUAGUCCUGGCCGUAAACGAUGAACACUAGGUGUCGGGGGAAUCGACCCCCUCGGUGUCGUAGCCAACGCGUUAAGUGUUCCGCCUGGGGAGUACGCACGCAAGUGUGAAACUCAAAGGAAUUGACGGGGGCCCGCACAAGCGGUGGAAUUAUGUGGGUUUAAUUCGAUGCAACGCGAAGAACCUUACCAGGGUUUGACAUCCUGCGAAUCUCUUGGAAAACGAGAGAGUGCCUUCGGGAACGCAGUGGACAGGUGGUGCAAUGGCUGUCGUCAGCUCGUGUCGUGGAG
This 994-nucleotide ribosomal RNA is filed under the name uncultured marine bacterium. RNAcentral's name for it is "bacterial SSU rRNA". It matches the Rfam family "Bacterial small subunit ribosomal RNA", at positions 69 to 1071 of the family's 1533-position model. The record is from RNAcentral.